AACACAAAGUGUGACAACUGCAGUAACGACGACAGCAACGAUGACGGUUCCUGAGCUAACACCUUCGGCCAACCUACGUCUUACAGAAGUGUCACCGGGCUUGGGUAGAAAAGAUACGAAAUACUCUAUGUACCACUUUCUUGAUCGUGAAAAUCUUCCAUGGAAUAACCCAACUCUGCUCCGCAUUUCACCCAAAAGAGUUCUGCCUGCACCCAACCGACUUGAUCAGAUCGCAAUGACCAGCAAAUUUUACCACAAGAUAUUGAUAUUAAUGGAGCAUUCAGGUCAGGUUCUCUAUCACAUCCUUUAAAAAUUAUCCCACGCCUCAUUUCCCAUAUCUAUCCUAAUUUAAUUAAAUAAACCUAUUUUCUUCUUUUUUUAAUGACAUUUUUUCAUUCUUCCACUUACAAAAUCCAUGGGGAAUAGAUAUAGUCAUGUAGGGAACGAAUAGUGAAUCUUUACAUUUAGAGCAUUCCCAGUAGGUUCUUAAUCUUUAUCGCUACGUUUUAACCAAAAUACACAUUUUUCUAUUAAUUUUGUUUAUUUUUUACCACCUCUCACAUCAGAUUCUCUUAUCUCUAUUUCUAUCUUACUCACAAACACUUAUUUUAUUGUUUUUCUCGUUUCAUACACUCACAAAAUUAUAAUCAGAGAUGAAUAGCGAGUCUCAAUAAUUAGAGAAUUAAUGUAGGUUCUCUAAACCUUAUCUCUAUUUUAGAGAUGAUGAUGAUGGAGGGUGCAAAUGAAAGAAAACCUCAUACUUUUUUCUACAAUUUUGAGAAAGUGAUAAUAUAGAGAAUCUGAUGUGAAUGCUCUUAAGGAAUCACUAUAGCUACUUUAAAAUUUUACUUAUUUUAGGGAUCCCGACGGAAUGGUAACUUAGCUGAUUUCUCUUAUAAUUUAAAGAUAGUGUGGGGAUAGAGAACCUGAUGUGAAUACUCUAAGAAUCUCUAUCUCCAUCUCAAUAAUUUAACUAUAUAUCACAUUUCUCUAAUACAUAAUCAUACAAGAAUUGGUAGUUCCUUUAGUAGUUUUCAAACAAUUCAAUUCAGACAUUUUCACAAACACCUGGUGGGCACAAGGUAGACCUUUUUCUAGAUUAACAAGAAAACAAAAUUCAAAACAUUGCAUCAUCCAGAUCACAAAUGAAGCUCAAAGUGAAGAGAGUAAUACCGUAUCAUCAUCCAUAGUUUCCUCCGAAUCGAUUCGAUUGUCAAGAGUAGUUACUUGUUGGUGAUCUCUGUCUGCAUCUACAGCCUCUACCAAAGGGGAAACUAUAAUAAUAAUAAUAACUGACACAAUUAUAAUAAUCACCCCUUUGGCGCGCAUUCUUUCUUGAAACAUCAAUUCGAAUCAUUUCAACCAACAAUAAACACCAAACCAAAUUAACAUCACCCCAGAUCAUAAUCGAGAAUUAGGGUUCAAAUUCUUUGUUUUCCAACCUCAAAUUGGACCUAAAAUGUCCUCAAUUUGUUUAAUUAAACAAUAUAUAAUGAUCAAACUCUUGAUUAAUUAGAUUCUCGAGCAAACAGUUUGGUGGACUAUUUGAAGGAUAAAUUAUGAUUCAGAUUGAUUGUAUAAAACACGACGGAGAUCCACGGUGGCCGGAGUUAUGAAACCGGUGGCCGGUGACGGGGGAAACGUGAAUUAACGGUCGGAAUACGAUGGUUUUUUUCCCCAAUUUUGUUUUUGGUGUGCAUUUUUUUUAAUUCUUGAAGUUAUGUGAUGAUUUGCAAUCGUACGUUAAUAUGAUUGAUAAAUAAGUUUAAGUUUUAUGUUA
Molecule: long non-coding RNA, 1780 nt
Organism: Helianthus annuus (common sunflower)
Lineage: Eukaryota; Viridiplantae; Streptophyta; Magnoliopsida; Asterales; Asteraceae
Exons: 2
Source: RefSeq, a predicted model, not a curated record